RNAcentral lists this ribosomal RNA (253 nucleotides) under uncultured bacterium. RNAcentral describes it as "partial 16S ribosomal RNA". It matches the Rfam family "Bacterial small subunit ribosomal RNA", at positions 524 to 776 of the family's 1533-position model. The record is from RNAcentral.
UACAGAGGUCUCAACCGUUGUUCGGAUUCAUUGGGCGUAAAGGGUGCGUAGGCGGUCGUGCAAGUCGGAUGUGAAAUCUCAGGGCUCAACCCUGAAACUGCAUUCGAUACUGCGUGGCUAGAGUGCUGGAGAGGAGACUGGAAUUUACGGUGUAGCGGUGAAAUGCGUAGAUAUCGUAAGGAAGACCAGUGGCGAAGGCGGGUCUCUGGACAGUUCCUGACGCUGAGGCACGAAGGUCAGGGGAGCAAACGGG